Molecule: ribosomal RNA, 224 nt
Filed under: uncultured bacterium
Lineage: Bacteria
Description: partial 16S ribosomal RNA
Rfam family: Bacterial small subunit ribosomal RNA
Source: RNAcentral
GACGUAUGGGGCCAGCGUUAUUGGGCAUUACUGGGUGUAAAGGGUACGUAGGUAGUUUUUUAAUAAUAUUUUGUAAAAACGUCUAGAUUAAAUCUUUUUCAUUUUUGCAUCUUCUUAAAAAAAAAACUCGGAGUUUAAAAACAAGUAAUUAGAAUUUUUUAACGGAGGGGCAAAAUCCGUCGAGGUUAAAAGGAAUACCAAAUGUGAAAACAUUUUACAUAUUU